This 711-nucleotide long non-coding RNA is filed under the name Parus major (Great Tit). RNAcentral's name for it is "lncRNA (ENSPMJG00000013815.1)". Lineage: Eukaryota; Metazoa; Chordata; Aves; Passeriformes; Paridae. The record is from RNAcentral.
GAAUUGAUGAAUUCAAACUGAGCACCGUCUUGUAGAUGGGCAGCCCCCAGUACUGCCUGUUGAUGUUGUUAUGCUUCAUGAUGUACUUCAUAUUCAUGGAGCAGGGACUAGGAAUGGGAAUGUACUGCACUGCUGCAGCCCAUAGAUUGUAAUGUAAUUUCUUUCUGUGCCUCAGUAGGUAUGUAAGUACGUUGCACAAAGGCGGAACAUACUCCACAUAAGACAUUGAAAAUUUCUCCUCCCCCAUGCUUGAUGAUGUGGAUUCAGUCAUUUCAGGGAGGAAAAAUCCUGCGUCCUGCAUUGGUUAAAAUAUUUAUAUCUACUGCUAUUGGACACCUUGAAGAGGAUGUGAUUCACCUGGCAUGUAGUCAGGGAAGGGUUGCUGUGAGCUGGUCAGCCAUGAAUAUGAACAUGAGGUUUCUGAAUUGACAGUUAUCAACAGGAGCGCCCUUAAGUUUUCUGGAACUGACCAGCACUGGAAGAGUCAAGAUAUCUUGAGAGGUGCUGCUGCUACAGAAAUUCCCAGCUGUGUUCAGAAGUGUUGGGAGUCUUGAAAGACAAGCAGUUCUUGUAUUUGAUCUACUCCCAUUUGCAGACCACAGAGGUCUGAAACUCAUUUAUUCCAACCUAAAUCAGAAGCAAUCAUACUAAAUUCAGUAGGUAUGACUCAAAUCAGCGUAAAUGAGAUCUAAACCCAGCCUUCAAAGGGUU